This 440-nucleotide ribosomal RNA is filed under the name uncultured bacterium. Its description in RNAcentral is "bacterial SSU rRNA". It matches the Rfam family "Bacterial small subunit ribosomal RNA", at positions 355 to 787 of the family's 1533-position model. The record is from RNAcentral.
UGGGGAAUAUUGCGCAAUGGGCGAAAGCCUGACGCAGCGACGCCGCGUGAGGGAUGAAGGUCCUCGGAUCGUAAACCUCUGUCAGAAGGGAAGAAGUUGACCAGUGCUAAUCAGCUGGUCAUUGACGGUACCUUCAAAGGAAGCACCGGCUAACUCCGUGCCAGCAGCCGCGGUAAUACGGAGGGUGCGAGCGUUAAUCGGAAUUACUGGGCGUAAAGGGAGCGUAGACGGAGCAGCAAGUCUGAUGUGAAAGGCAGGGGCUCAACCCUGCAGCUGCAUUGGAAACUGUUGAUCUUGAGUACCGGAGGGUAAGCGGAAUUCCUAGUGUAGCGGUGAAAUGCGUAGAUAUUAGGAGGAACACCAGUGGCGAAGGCGGCUUACUGGACGGUAACUGACGUUGAGGCUCGAAAGCGUGGGGGAGCAAACAGGAUUAGAUACCC